RNAcentral lists this ribosomal RNA (222 nucleotides) under uncultured prokaryote. Its description in RNAcentral is "partial 16S ribosomal RNA". It matches the Rfam family "Bacterial small subunit ribosomal RNA", at positions 524 to 775 of the family's 1533-position model. The record is from RNAcentral.
GACGUGAAAGACUAGUGUUAUUCAUCUUUAAUAGGUUUAAAGGGUACGUAGACGGUAUUUUAAGCCUAAAAUAGGUACUAUUAUACUAGAGUUAAAUGUAAGGAGUGUAGUAUUUGGGGAUAGAGAGAUGUAAUCCUGUGAUACCCCAAGGACAGGUAUAAGCGAAAGCAACCUCUUAUGUAAUAACUGACGUCCAGGGACGAAGGCUUUGGUCGCGAUAGG